GUAGUAGCAAAUACUCUAGCGAGACCCUGGAGGGCUGAUGCGGAGAAGGGUUUCGUGUGAACAGCCGUUGCACACGAGUCAGUCGAUCCUAAGCCCUAGGGGAAACCCGAUGCAUGACUCGGCCUAUGGCCGCAUCGGGCGAAAGGGAAUCCGGUCCCUAUUCCGGAACCCGGUCGCGGAACCGUUUCACGUCGGGCCCCGCUUCAAUGCGCAAGCUCGUCGGGGUAACCCAACAUGUCCCGGAGAAGCCGUCGGGAGGUCGGGGAAGAGUUUUCUUUUCUGUUUGAGCGUUCGGGUUCCCUGGAAUUGCCUAGCGCAGAGAGAGGGAAUGGAGCGCGUAGAGCACCGCAGUUGCGGCGGUGUCCCGACAUGCCCCUCGGACCUUGAAAAUCCGGGCGCGGGCCACGUGGAGGUGUCGCGCCGGUUCGUACCCAUAUCCGCAGCAGGUCUCCAAGGUGAAGAGCCUCUAGCCGAUAGAAGAAUGUAGGUAAGGGAAGUCGGCAACUUGGAUCCGUAACUUCGGAAUAAGGAU
This 532-nucleotide ribosomal RNA is filed under the name Gymnogryllus sp. PNG. RNAcentral describes it as "eukaryotic LSU rRNA". It matches the Rfam family "Eukaryotic large subunit ribosomal RNA", at positions 1457 to 1948 of the family's 3401-position model. Lineage: Eukaryota; Metazoa; Arthropoda; Insecta; Orthoptera; Gryllidae. The record is from RNAcentral.